RNAcentral lists this ribosomal RNA (468 nucleotides) under uncultured bacterium. Its description in RNAcentral is "partial 16S ribosomal RNA". It matches the Rfam family "Bacterial small subunit ribosomal RNA", at positions 28 to 507 of the family's 1533-position model. The record is from RNAcentral.
GACGAACGCUGGCGGCGUGCUUAACACAUGCAAGUCGAACGGAAAGGCCCUGCUUUUGUGGGGUGCUCGUGUGGCGAACGGGUGAGUAACACGUGAGUAACCUGCCCUUGACUUUGGGAUAACUUCAGGAAACUGGGGCUAAUACCGGAUAGGAGCUCCUGCUGCAUGGUGGGGGUUGGAAAGUUUCGGCGGUUGGGGAUGGACUGGCGGCUUAUCAGCUUGUUGGUGGGGUAGUGGCUUACCAAGGCUUUGACGGGUAGCCGGCCUGAGAGGGUGACCGGCCACAUUGGGACUGCGAUACGGCGCAGACUCCUACGGGAGGCAGCAGUGGAGAAUAUUGCACAAUGGGCGGAAGCCUGAUGUAGCAACGCCGCGUGCGGGAUGACGGCCUUCGGGUUGUAAACCGCUUUCGCCUGUGACGAAGCGUGAGUGACGGUAAUGGGUAAAGAAGCCCCGGCUAACUACGUG